This 259-nucleotide ribosomal RNA is filed under the name uncultured bacterium. RNAcentral describes it as "partial 16S ribosomal RNA". It matches the Rfam family "Bacterial small subunit ribosomal RNA", at positions 524 to 778 of the family's 1533-position model. The record is from RNAcentral.
UACGUAGGGGCAAGCGUUGUCCGGAAUUAUUGGGCGUAAAGAGCGUGUAGGCGGUCCGGUAAGUCGGCUGUGAAAGUCCAGGGCUCAACCCUGGGAUGCCGGUCGAUACUGCCGGGACUAGAGUUCGGAAGAGGCGAGUGGAAUUCCCGGUGUGAGCGGUGAAAUGCGCAGAGUAGUCGGGAGGAACACCGGUGGCGAAGGCGGUCUCUGGGCGAUUACCCUGACGCUGAGGAGCGAAAGUGUGGGGAGCGAACAGGAU